Long non-coding RNA from Alligator sinensis (Chinese alligator), 302 nucleotides. RefSeq lists it as uncharacterized. The transcript is spliced from 3 exons. Lineage: Eukaryota; Metazoa; Chordata; Crocodylia; Alligatoridae. The record is from RefSeq and is a predicted model, not a curated record.
GACAUGGAACCUGAGAUACUGAAUCCAGGAUCGCCGGCCAGACACAGAGCACCAGAGAAAUGCCUGGGACUACACAUUGGAUGGACAGACCACCUCAGUGAAAUAGAAUUGAGAAGGAAGAAUAAUAUUGUGCAGUGGCCAUUGUUUAGUACUCUGUUGGGGAAUGUGGAAAGAUCUGGCAACUUCUGUCUUUGACAGCAGUCAUGUGUAGGGAAGAUGGAGGCAAAGCACUUGGGAAGGUUCACCAACGGAAUCCUGUUAAGGAUGAAAAGAAAAAUAAAGAUUAAAUUAUAGCAGGGAAA